AUUGAACGCUGGCGGCAGGCCUGACACAUGCAAGUCGAGCGGAUGAAGGGAGCUUGCUCCUGGAUUCAGCGGCGGACGGGUGGGUAAUGUCUAGGAAUCUGCCUGGUAGUGGGGGAUAACGUCCGGAAACGGGCGCUAAUACCGCAUACGUCCUGAGGGAGAAAGUGGGGGAUCUUCGGACCUCACGCUAUCAGAUGAGCCUAGGUCGGAUUAGCUAGUUGGUGGGGUAAAGGCCUACCAAGGCGACGAUCCGUAACUGGUCUGAGAGGAUGAUCAGUCACACUGGAACUGAGACACGGUCCAGACUCCUACGGGAGGCAGCAGUGGGGAAUAUUGGACAAUGGGCGAAAGCCUGAUCCAGCCAUGCCGCGUGUGUGAAGAAGGUCUUCGGAUUGUAAAGCACUUUAAGUUGGGAGGAAGGGCAGUAAGUUAAUACCUUGCUGUUUUGACGUUACCAACAGAAUAAGCACCGGCUAACUUCGUG
Molecule: ribosomal RNA, 484 nt
Filed under: uncultured bacterium
Lineage: Bacteria
Description: partial 16S ribosomal RNA
Rfam family: Bacterial small subunit ribosomal RNA
Source: RNAcentral